This 230-nucleotide unclassified non-coding RNA is filed under the name Hevea brasiliensis (rubber tree). The record is from RNAcentral. Lineage: Eukaryota; Viridiplantae; Streptophyta; Magnoliopsida; Malpighiales; Euphorbiaceae.
UCGACGUGAAGCUUAACAAGGCCAUCUGGACCAAUGGUAUCCGGAGUGUCCCAAGGCGAGUCCGUGUUAGAAUCUCUCGCAAGAGAAACGAUGAGGAGGACGCCAAGGAGGAGCUCUACUCUCUGGUCACAGUUGCUGAGAUCCCUGCAGAGGGUCUCAAGGGUUUGGGAACCAAGGUUGUUGAGGAUGAGGAGUAAACUUUUCAUUGUUAUCUGUCAGUUAGCGCUUAG